Molecule: non-coding RNA, 77 nt
Organism: Paramuricea clavata
Lineage: Eukaryota; Metazoa; Cnidaria; Anthozoa; Malacalcyonacea; Plexauridae
Source: the annotation of a GenBank genome assembly
UAGGAAUUCCUAUAGGAAUUUUUCCUAUAGGAAUUCCUAUAGGAAUUCCUAUAGGAAAAAUUCCUAUAGGAAUUUUG